AAGUCGUAACAAGGUCUCCGUAGGUGAACCUGCGGAGGGAUCAUUACUGCGAAAGGGCCUUCGGGCCCGACCGCUCACCCAUUGUUGACCAACACUUGUUGCCUCGGGGGCGACCCGGACGCCGACGCGUCGGCGUCGGCCCCCCCGACGGACCCUUCAAACUCUGUGUCUGUACGUCGGAGUACUUGAUGAAUCAAUCAAAACUUUCAACAACGGAUCUCUUGGUUCUG
This 230-nucleotide unclassified non-coding RNA is filed under the name air metagenome. RNAcentral describes it as "partial contains small subunit ribosomal RNA, internal transcribed spacer 1, and 5.8S ribosomal RNA". The stretch from base 1 to 46 matches the Rfam family "Eukaryotic small subunit ribosomal RNA", at positions 1786 to 1831 of the family's 1831-position model. The record is from RNAcentral.